AUUGAACGCUAGCGGGAUGCUUUACACAUGCAAGUCGAACGGCAGCGCGGACUUCGGUCUGGCGGCGAGUGGCGAACGGGUGAGUAAUGUAUCGGAACGUGCCCAGUAGCGGGGGAUAACUACGCGAAAGCGUAGCUAAUACCGCAUACGCCCUACGGGGGAAAGCAGGGGAUCGUAAGACCUUGCACUAUUGGAGCGGCCGAUAUCGGAUUAGCUAGUUGGUGAGGUAACGGCUCACCAAGGCGACGAUCCGUAGCUGGUUUGAGAGGACGACCAGCCACACUGGGACUGAGACACGGCCCAGACUCCUACGGGAGGCAGCAGUGGGGAAUUUUGGACAAUGGGGGCAAGCCUGAUCCAGCCAUCCCGCGUGUGCGAUGAAGGCCUUCGGGUUGUAAAGCACUUUUGGCAGGAAAGAAACGUCGCGGGCUAAUACCCCGUGGAACUGACGGUACCUGCAGAAUAAGCACCGGCGAACUACGU
Molecule: ribosomal RNA, 483 nt
Filed under: uncultured bacterium
Lineage: Bacteria
Description: partial 16S ribosomal RNA
Rfam family: Bacterial small subunit ribosomal RNA
Source: RNAcentral